RNAcentral lists this ribosomal RNA (510 nucleotides) under uncultured bacterium. RNAcentral describes it as "partial 16S ribosomal RNA". It matches the Rfam family "Bacterial small subunit ribosomal RNA", at positions 28 to 507 of the family's 1533-position model. The record is from RNAcentral.
GACGAACGCUGGCGGCGUGCUUAACACAUGCAAGUCGAACGAAGAGCGAUGGAAGCUUGCUCCUAUCAAUCUUAGUGGCGAACGGGUGAGUAACGCGUAAUCAACCUGCCCUUCAGAGGGGGACAACAGUUGGAAACGACUGCUAAUACCGCAUACGAUCUAAUCUCGGCAUCGAGGAUAGAUGAAAGGUGGCCUCUACAUGUAAGCUAUCACUGAAGGAGGGGAUUGCGUCUGAUUAGCUAGUUGGAGGGGUAACGGCCCACCAAGGCGAUGAUCAGUAGCCGGUCUGAGAGGAUGAACGGCCACAUUGGGACUGAGACACGGCCCAGAAUCCUACGGGAGGCAGCAGUGGGGAAUCUUCCGCAAUGGACGAAAGUCUGACGGAGCAACGCCGCGGGAGCGAUGAAGGCCUUCGGGUUGUAAAGCUCUGUUAAUCGGGACGAAAGGCCUUCUUGCGAAUAGUGAGAAGGAUUGACGGUACCGGAAUAGAAAGCCACGGCUAACUACGUG